Molecule: ribosomal RNA, 836 nt
Filed under: Pseudoalteromonas sp. AP15
Lineage: Bacteria; Pseudomonadati; Pseudomonadota; Gammaproteobacteria; Alteromonadales; Pseudoalteromonadaceae
Description: bacterial SSU rRNA
Rfam family: Bacterial small subunit ribosomal RNA
Source: RNAcentral
CCAUGCCGCGUGUGUGAAGAAGGCCUUCGGGUUGUAAAGCACUUUCAGUAAGGAGGAAAGGUUAAGUUUUAAUAGAGCUUAGCUGUGACGUUACUUACAGAAGAAGCACCGGCUAACUCCGUGCCAGCAGCCGCGGUAAUACGGAGGGUGCGAGCGUUAAUCGGAAUUACUGGGCGUAAAGCGUACGCAGGCGGUUUGUUAAGCGAGAUGUGAAAGCCCCGGGCUCAACCUGGGAACUGCAUUUCGAACUGGCAAACUAGAGUGUGAUAGAGGGUGGUAGAAUUUCAGGUGUAGCGGUGAAAUGCGUAGAGAUCUGAAGGAAUACCGAUGGCGAAGGCAGCCACCUGGGUCAACACUGACGCUCAUGUACGAAAGCGUGGGGAGCAAACAGGAUUAGAUACCCUGGUAGUCCACGCCGUAAACGAUGUCUACUAGAAGCUCGGGUCCUCGGACUUGUUUUUCAAAGCUAACGCAUUAAGUAGACCGCCUGGGGAGUACGGCCGCAAGGUUAAAACUCAAAUGAAUUGACGGGGGCCCGCACAAGCGGUGGAGCAUGUGGUUUAAUUCGAUGCAACGCGAAGAACCUUACCUACACUUGACAUACAGAGAACUUACUAGAGAUAGUUUGGUGCCUUCGGGAACUCUGAUACAGGUGCUGCAUGGCUGUCGUCAGCUCGUGUUUGUGAGAUGUUGGGGUUAAGUCCCGCAACGAGCCGCAACCCCCUAUCCUUUAGUUGCUAGCAGGUAAUGCUGAGAACUCUAAGGAGACUGCCCGGUGAUAAACCGGAGGAAGGGUGGGGACGACGUCAAGUCAUCAUGGCCCCUUACGUGUAGGG